GUCAGCUGCACGAGAGAGAGAGAGAGGCGCGCGGCAUCUCGUCUCAGAUAUGAACUCUGUCAGUUAGUGUCAGCCGUUAGGGUCGGUUCCGUUCAACAGCGACCGUGUGUCCCGGUCUCCGGUGUGUAGUGAAGAACCGGAGGCUGUUGUUACUAUCAGAGCACCGUCACGGUUCUGUGUGUGCGUGUGAGCCUCCCCAGCGGCUGUAACUCUCUAAAGUGACUGACUGUGUGUGUUGCUGGUUUCUUCCCUCCAUCUACUGACUCCCAUGGCUCCGGGAACUGUCUAAUUCUGGAUCUGUCAAGCAGGAAUAGGACAGGCCCAGACAGAGAGAGAUGAGCUGGGCUGAGGAAGACUGGACGGUGGGGCUCUCUGGACGGGUCCUGCAAAAGGUGAAGGAGCUGCAGGUCCAUCAGGAGCGACUGUCCAGAGAAAACAAGCAGAAACAGCUGCAACUGGACAACAUCCAUACGAGCCUAGAAAAACAGACUGGGAAGUAUGAGGAGGUCCGUGGGGAGCUCCAUUGUGUGCAGAGGGAGCUCCAGAGUCUUCAAGAGGAGGCCAAGGCAGCAGUGACCAGCAGCAAGCGUCUGACUCAGGAGCUUCAGACCAAGCAGGCCCAAGUAUGCUCUUUGGAGGGCCAGGUAGAAGCUGCUCGCACCUCCAACAACAAACUCACCCAGGAUGUAAAAAGGCUGGAGGCAGAGCUGGAAAAGCUGCAAAACAGCAGCAGAUCGGCAGAUACCACUCUGUUUUCUACACCCUGCUGGAAUACAACCUCGCCCUGGGAACACAAUGCAGGAAGCAGAAAGGAGGAGAGGCCAGGGCAUAGAGAUGAAGGACAGAGCUGGGCGCUUCACAGCCGACGCCUCCAGUUCUCCGAAGGGGGCUCAGCCUCAUCACCACAACAACACAAGAACACACCCCAGCGUCAUUCGUCCGACCAAUCGGACACCUUCUCCACUCCCUUGGCUGCGUUUCCGUGGGAACGGGAUGACUCGAGGCCAGCCGCCAGGAGACCAUCCCCUAUUUCUCCCCAAACACCCUGCGCUGAUGUCAUCAGUCAAGGCCAAUCAAAGCCGAGGCUUUGUGGGAAGGAGAUGGACCAGAGGACAGAAACAGAUGCAUCUUUAUCAGAAGUAUGGAGUCGUGUGGCUGCUCUGGAAGAGGAGCUGCGUGCGAAGGCCGGGACAUUGAAGUCUAUUCAGAGCGAAAUGGUGCAAAACAAGAAGGAGCUCGGCGCCCGGGAGCUCAGCCUCCAAAAAGCCCGCGACGAGCUUAGCCAGGCACACGCACGCACGGCCCAGGAGAGUGAACGGGUGUCAGGAGCUGAGCAAAAGCUGAAGCAGCUACUAGAAGAGCUGAAGUGUCAGAGGCAAAAUGCAGAGAGCAGCCGACUGCAACACCAACAACGCUCUAAAGAGCUGGAGAAACAACAUCAGAGGGAUUUGACAGAGCUUCAGAAGGAGAGGCAGACUCUGGAGAAGCAGCAUCAGCAGGAGGUGAAUAAGCUAAACCAGGAGCUCCAGCAGGCCAGGACACUCCACAAUGCCCUGCAGGCCCAGGCUGACAAGCUGUCUCUACAGAAACAGGCGUUGGACAAAGAGUUAGACACUCUGAAGGAGAAACUAAAGUGGACGGAGGGACAGCUGCAGGAGAGCCAGAAGAAGGAGGCACAGACACAAGCCAAACUGACGGAAGCGCUGCGUGAGGCGGAGGGUGUGGCGGUGAGUCUGGAGCAGAGCAGGAAGAGAGAGCGAGCUCUGGAGGAGGAGGGGAGGAGACUGGCAGAGGAGCGAGCUGACGCCCUUCGUCUCCUCAAGGAACUGCAGGAACAAAAAGCUGUCCCAGCACCCCCUCUACAACCUGUCCAGUUCUGCCCUGUCGGACAGAGUUUCUCCCCUCAACCUUCUUACUCUCCUCAUUCUCGACCAUCAACUCACAUCAAGAGGCCCAACGCCACCACCCUAGCUGAGCAGAAGAGGGAUGAGGACAUGGAUGUGGAUAAGAGAAGGGCAGAGAUUGCAGCAUCUUACCCCUCUGACAGAGAGCCAGGAGAAGGCAUCGACUCAGAACACAUCGCUGACCUUAUCUCCCCAGACUCUGAGUUUUUAUUAAAGGGAGGACACGAGGAGGAUAACAAAAGUAGAAAUGAGGCGAUAGAGGGUGACAGCUCUGGGACAAACAAGCACUCCACAUUUGAUCAAAUACUCUCUAGUUCCUCUCACUCUGCUGCUGGUACGCCCACCAACACCUCUGUGGAUGGGGAUCGUUGCAGGCUUUCCUCUCUCAAGGCCUCUGAAGACCUCAAGAGAGAAAACGCCACACUGCGUUCAGAUUUACACGAUGCACGCGAAGAACUGCAGAAACGACUUGAGGACCUGGAAGCCCAACGACGGGCCGAGACAGAAGCCAGGACACGACUCAAACAACUCGGCCGCAAACGUGCCAGCCAGGCUGUGGAGAAGGACGAGCAGGGCAAGGAAUUGAAGGCACAGCUGGAGAGUGAGAGGGCUGAGACAGAGAGGUUGAAGAAGGCCAUGGCUGCUCUGGAGACAGAGAUGAAGAGAGGAAGCGAGGAAAGAGAACGGAAGGAGAGAGAGGAGCAGGAGGAGGAGAAAAACAAAGCACUAGAGGACCGGGAGAGUGAAAUGAUAGAACUUAACAUCCAGCUAAAGAAACAUCUAGCAGAGGUGAAAGCCCAGCUGGCUGUAGAACGAGAAGAGAGACAGAGAGAGGAAGAGGAGAGGAACCAAAUAACAAACACAGACAUAGAUGUAAAGAAAGAGCUGAGCACAAAAAUGGAACAUCUUAAAGCUGAAUUGGAAGAACUGAAGCGCAGCAGAGAAGAAGACUCAUCUGGAGAGGAGAAACUCUCAGUUGCCAACAGCCCGCUGACGUACCUAACUCUCCAUGAUGAUGAGCUCAACUCCAACAUCAUUUGCUUCGACAACAAGCUCCCCUCUUCGCCAGAGCAGCACCUCCUCUUCUGCCAGUCCACCAACCAACGCAACAUGCUUGUAUCUCAGGCCACAGCAGAUCUCAUCCAGGAAGCGCGAACAUUGAUAGAUCCUGAACGCUCACCUCUGUCAAAUGAGGGACAAACAGGUGGAGAGGCCUCUGACCUGGAAGACUACAGACAAAACUCUCUGUUAGGAUCUUCCCUGUCACUUUCUGACCUCCAGAACGUUGAGCCUGCCUCUUCAGAGCUGACAAAAGAGGUAGAGCACCUGCAGAAGGAGAAUACAAAGGAGACAGAACGUGCUAACCAGUACCAGGUUAAACUGGAGGCCCUGCAGAACCAGGUGACACGUCAGACAAAGCAGCUAACCAUGGCCUUUGAGAAGCAGAGUCAGCACAUCUCUGGACUUCUAGCUGAGCUGCAAGAGAAGGAGAGGGCCCUCCUCAGCCAGGGAGAGGAACUGCAGCGCUACAAGCAAGAGCUGGCUGCACCCAAAGCCGAAAAAGAGGGAGAGGAGGAGAUGACGGUCAAAGAGGUGGAGGAUGGAGAACAAAAAGAAGAGACACAAGAGGAGAUGACGGUCAAAGAGGUGGAGGAAGGAGGACAAAAAGAAGAGACACAAGAGGAGAUGACGGUCAAAGAGGUGGAGGAUGGAGGACAAAAAGAAGAGACACAAGAGGAGAUGACGAUCAAAGAGGUGGAGGAUGGAGAACAAAAUGAAGAGACACAAGAGGAGAUGACGGUCAAAGAGGUGGAGGAUGGAGAACAAAAAGAAGAGACACAAGAUGAGAGGCCGGUGGAGAUCUCAGGGCUUCAGUCAAACCAGGAAAAUGAGUGUGCUGUCACCGUACUCACUACAAACUCACUGGCAGAAGGUGACUCCAAUGUACAGAGAGACGCAGGUCAACUAAAGGUUGUGAAAUCUGAUGCUGAAAGACCCACAGCUAUUAUUGACAAAUCAGACAAUGAAGCCCUACGGUCAGGGGAACAGCAUCUAGGCUCUCAGGUCAAGACUCAGAGUAACCAUAACUCUGCUUGUGUGAAACGUGAGAUGGAGUGCAGUCAAGAUGGAGGAAUGGCAGAUGUGGUUGCAGAACUGCUCGCUCUCCGACAGGAGAAUCAGCUGCUGAAACAAAGAAAAGAGGGCUUGACUGUCUCAGACGCCAGGACCCCAGCAUUACACACUGACAGCGAAAACCAAGAAGACCCAAUCAAGCAAAGCCAAAACACAGGAAAUGCUGCUCUGUCCUGCUUCGCGGAGCUGAGGUCACCUAGUUUGCUGAAUGACGUCACCACUGACGCACGGCAGUCACCGCUGCAGGAUGUGAAGAGGAGGGAAGAUGAAGGAGGAGAUUUAGAAAAGGAAGAUGGGAAGACUACGGGGACUGAGGAAGAGCUGGAUUUAGUGUCUGAGUUUCACAUCAAUCGCCUACAGCAACAGGUGGAGGAGCUGCAGAUGAGGCUACGAGCUCUCUCUGCGGAGACCCAGCAGCAGGCCGAGGAGCUUGUUAUGUGGAGACUGGCCUCCCAAACAGCCCCAACAUUUGACCAGUUCCUUCCCAACACAGACAACAUGUCUGAGACCCAGGACCAGGUCUCUGCUGUCAGACAGUCCCAGUCCAUCCAGCAAGAGAGCCCUGGUAAUGUGACAGUCGUCAGAGAAGAUGAGUUAUUCCUCUCCUGCUUCUCCAACAAACUGCAGGGCCGCAUGUUGUUCUCCAGACUUCAGCACAGCAACCUCCCUGAACCAAAGAGUCUCCAUCCCUCUAAAAAGACUGCAGCUCUUCAGGAAUACAAUCAGACUGUCCAGGAAUCUGAAAAGGAAAACCACGAGAUCAGCCUCUUGCCUCAGUCAAAUACCUGUCAAACACAACACAAAGAGAAGAGAGACACUGUUAUCCAAAUAUCAUCUGAGAAAACGGGUCAACCACAUGCCACCAAAGAAUCACACAAAGUCUCAAAACCAAAGCAGACCAGAUCAGCUGAGUGUGACACGGGGAAUUCUGAGGUCACACCAGAGGCUUCCAAAGCAACCAAUGAAAUAAACACAACCAAUGAUCCCUCGGACAGAGAUCUCAGGACAGAAAUGAAAAGUGUCAGCAGUCAAACAGAGGAGAGUUUGUAUCCUUGCAGUGCUCGAUUAACCUCUGAACUCCGCUGUUCAUACACACAGACUGAGGAGGAGGAGGAGGAGGAGGAAGAAGAGUUAGUGGAAUCCCCUCCUGUCUCUCCUUUCCUAUCACCUGAGGGUGCAGAGGUAGGAGACAGAGUGUUGUUUUCGGGUUCCUUCCCCAUACCGGCUGACCCGGCCCGUCUGGCUGAACGAAUCCGCCGUAACAGGACGCAGCUGUCAGCCGCCUUUGACGACACAGAGUAUGAACCCUAUGGGCUGCCGGAGGUCGUCAUGAAAGGUUUUGCUGACAUCCCCAGUGGUCCUUCAUGUCCGUACAUUGUGAGAAGAGGUUUGUUAGGGACAACUGCCGUACCUGUCCCUCAGAAAGACACGAAACAGGAGGAGGAGGAGACUGAUUAAAACACACAGGUAACCUCAAGAGACACUCAGAAAACUGCUGCAGAUUUUAUGUCUCGAGAACUAAGAAAUGCAAAAGAUUUGGUGGAAAGAAGUGAUCGCUCUGGCUUGACGAUGGACCUCAGUGAUGGACGACAGCAGCUAUACAGGGACACUCCAGUCACCAGCAACCAGUUUAGAAAGUGCUGCUAUCACGCAUGGACUUCUGUAUGUGUGUGCAGGUAACUGGGCCUGCACUGGCAGAAUAAACACUCACUGUGGAUAAAAUGUCUUAA
This is an RNA transcript of Sebastes umbrosus (honeycomb rockfish), 5767 nucleotides long. It is a transcript of the gene named centromere protein F, with no coding region annotated. NCBI's taxonomy places the organism in Eukaryota, Metazoa, Chordata, Actinopteri, Perciformes, Sebastidae. The record is from RefSeq and is a predicted model, not a curated record. The transcript is spliced from 19 exons.